This 180-nucleotide non-coding RNA is filed under the name Candidatus Hydrogenedentes bacterium CG1_02_42_14. RNAcentral's name for it is "6S RNA". It matches the Rfam family "6S / SsrS RNA". From Rfam's summary of the family: E. coli 6S RNA was the first non coding RNA to be sequenced, but its function was unknown until recently. It consists of 184 nucleotides that fold into an extended hairpin structure with a large single-stranded internal bulge. The record is from RNAcentral. Lineage: Bacteria; Pseudomonadati; Candidatus Hydrogenedentota. RNAcentral also lists the same sequence under 1 other name.
AUUGUCCUGCAUGGUUCGAGAGGCACUGAUUUCUUGGCCCAACACUUUUAUUGGACGGGAAUCUAACAUGACGGGAACGCGAAGCUCUUCAUUUGAAGGGUAAGCUGAACCGAGCUCGAGGUGCCCACCUGUUUAGACAGGGUCCAUAAAGAUGUGCUUCACGGCCAUUGCGGGACAUUU